UACACACCGCCCGUCACACCAUGGGAGUUGGUUCGACCUUAAGCCGGUGUGCGAACCCGCAAGGGACGCAGCCGAUCACGGUCGGGUCAGCGACUGGGGUG
RNAcentral lists this ribosomal RNA (101 nucleotides) under uncultured bacterium. RNAcentral describes it as "partial 16S ribosomal RNA". It matches the Rfam family "Bacterial small subunit ribosomal RNA", at positions 1384 to 1482 of the family's 1533-position model. The record is from RNAcentral.